Cuculus canorus (common cuckoo) is the source of this 6852-nucleotide long non-coding RNA. RefSeq lists it as uncharacterized. The record is from RefSeq and is a predicted model, not a curated record. Lineage: Eukaryota; Metazoa; Chordata; Aves; Cuculiformes; Cuculidae. The transcript has 4 exons.
AUGACCAGCAGCCACCAGAAGAGGGGACACUUUCCAGAGAGGUGAAUGCCCAGUGGUGACACUUCUAAAGGUUGCACUUGCUCUGCUGUAGGAUCUCUUCAAAUGAGAAAUUAUUAUGUUUCCUAUCUCAGGUUUGAUAAUGCCUGAGGAAAGACCCUUUGGAACAGAAUGUGCAUGAAUAACAGUGUACAAGGAGAAGCCUGAGGAUACCUUCCUACUUUUCUGAUGCGCAAUACAUUUUAAUCUCUUUGCUUAGGGAAAAUGACCUACUACAAGCCUCAAAUGAUGUUCUUCAUCACACCUACUAGCUAUUAAUCUUAACUUAUGGGAUAAUGGGUUCCAAUUCUGUACUUUUGGUCGUGCUGAGCAUCAGGACAUCUCAGUGCGAAGUCUUGCUAUGAGGGGCAGACACAUAAGUCUAAUCUCAAUUACUGUCAUCUCCAUCUUUUAUCCCUGGCAUGUGCUACAACUCUUGGAAAUUCUCAGCAAUCACCCCUUUUCUUAAUGUUAUUCUAUUUCCAUUUUUACAGAUGCAUCAAACUAGCUUGAAGACAUGAUUUAAUAGUUUAUUAGACUACUGUAAGAACUCUGAUCUAAGUAAUUUAUGAUCUUUAAAAAACCUUCUAUUAACUGUAAUUCUGCUUUCAAAGUGCUUGAACAAAAUCUGAGUUUUAGCAUGUUGCAUCUGAAGAAAUGAGAUGGUGGCAAAGAUGCAGGGUUUCAGCAAAAAGAGGUGCUUAUGAAAGCUUUAAGGAAAUAAAGGGAGAAAUGGCAGUGAAGAUGGAAGUGAGACUGUGUCAGUCACCGAAGCUGGGAAAUGUGAACAUAAAGGCAGGAGGCCAGUGAAGGAAUUCCUUGAAAGAAAUGGAAUCCAGGACAGUGUGAAGGGGAAGAUGACUUGCUAUUAGAGCUCUACUGUGACCAUCCCAGGGUGAAGUAAAGAAGAGCUGUGAGGGGUUUGGGAGUCCAUGGAGGGAGGUCAGCAAUAGUCCUGUGGAGUGGUGAUAGAGCAUUUGCAGUGAGAGCUGUCUGGUGAGACUUUAGCUGAAGGAAUGACUGCUAGUGAAGCAAUGCAUCAGAGGCCGUGACUCUUGGCUGUGGAAAGAAUAGUGAGUGGCAAGGAAGACUGGAAUAAGAAGUAGGUGAAGAGAUAAAUAGAAUCUAUUUACUACAGAUUUGUGACAGGGUGGGCAUGAGCUGCUUUUUAUUGAAUAAAUUACUGUCACAGCAAAUACUGUGCAAUUGAAUCCAUUCUUUAUCCUGAAUGUCUAUAUUAGCUAAGUCACGGCUGUCUGUUCCAGGAUUGCAAGUGGAGACGAAGGGCUACUGGAAACCAGACUGCAGCUCUGCUUUCGCAUUUGUUCAACAUUAUCAUAUGUGCUGUGGGUUUAUUCUCUGCUUUUCUGAUUCUACUGAUUUCUGUUUCAGCUCCUGCUGAGGGGUGGAGGGUGUUAUUAUUUGUGUUGUUAAUAUUUGUUAUGUGUGUUAUUUAAGGAAGAGCAAAGUUCAAGAUCACUAGUAAAUACUACAAACUACCUAUGAGUAGGUGCAGUCUGGAAUAGAAAGAUUCAGAAGCCUUUUCCCUGUCAGGAUAUAUGUACUGAAUCUCAGUCCUUGUGAUUCAUUUCUCCUAGGUUUGCCCUAUAAAAUUUUUAAAUAAAUAUAGAUAUUUGUCGCUGGACUGUGGAAUACCUCCUAUAUUGGCUAUAUAUAUUAAUCAUAUUAUUUUAUUAUUAUUAGUGAAAUAAAUUCAAACGUUUCAUUGCAAUGGUGAAGUGUGAAUAUAACUUCUAAAAGCUGGAACCCAACCUCUAUGGCAAUGUCAAUGGAAGGUCCUGUUAGAUGUCCAACCUCUAACAACACAGAUUCCAUUUUUGAUGUUUAAAAUAAGGUAAAUCGAACAAACCACACCUUUUGGCUACGAUCAUCUAAUGACUUCUGGUGAUGUGAUUCACAUGCCAUUCUUGAGGAGGAAGCUGGCUUGCUUUCUCCUGCCUUGGUCACAGAGCUGCCAUGGAGGGCAAUCCUCAGUCACAGACGGAAACUUCUUGGAAAUCCAGCCCAAGGCAACCUAGAGCCUGAAGGAAAUGGCAUUGCAGCAUUAUCAAGAGAUUGCCAGCUGGUGACAAGAACAAGUUCAAGGUGUUCAUACCCUUAAAGACCUGAGGAAAGAACUAUUCAGGAUAAUGACAUGGCAGCUGUUCCCCAUGUUGUGAUGUGGUACAGACGUCCUAAACAGUUAUUUGAGUAGAAGUACACCACUACGUCAGCCGCUCCUUUGGACACCUAUGCUCUGGACAGACCAUGCAGGUGAGUGAAAAGGAGAAGCUCCCCUGUUUCUACACCCAUGGAGUCCCCCAGAGAAAACAAAUCCAGGAAACUUCUUCAGCCCACUCCUAGCCCCAGCCUCUGUCAGUGAUCCCCUGUUCCAGUACUUCUUGUUCUAGCCUGAGUAAGUGGGCUGCUUUUCUAUGGGUUUCUUUUUUAGGGGUACAAGUUGCAGCUUCUGCCAGAAGAGUUUCUGGCUUCCUCUAGAGCCACUGAGUUGUGCUCCUAAGAAGUGCCAGGUAGGCCAGUUAAUGGAGUACAAGGAAGAAUAAUGUCUACUGUGUGCCCAUCUUUUCAGAGACCUCUUUAGGUGUAGGCUGAAAGGACACAAAAUGUCAGCAGAAUCUAGACCACACGGUGGAGGUUGAGGCAUCUCCUCUCCAUAAAAAGGAGAGGCAUAACAUCUUGGGUGCAGGUGGCCUUUCAUGAGGUUCGGAAGGCAUGGCCACUCCAUAAACAGAGCAUUUUGGCCAAAAGCCUAGGUACAUGGCAGAAAGCCAAUAUUUCAAGAUUAAAAAAAAGGGAGAUAAUGAGACAGAACAGAAGGUCUUGUGUCACUGUGGACAGGGGGAGAGAAGGUUUCCUUGGUGAAUGGGUACCUUUUUUUUUUUUGUCCUGCAGGAUGCAAACAGUUGCAUCCACCUCUUACCUUUCUGGCCUUUAUCAAGUCUGGCUCUCCCAUCCAUCUGAGAUGCUUACACAGCCUUGUUUUCUCCCCUGCUCUCUCCACCACCUCCAGAGAAGCAGACAGCAAGCAAAUGUCUCCUCACUCUCCCCCUUUUCCUGAGCUGCAUGGCACAGCCACUUGCCUGUCAGCUGCAUUUUUCUCCAGCAAAACACACAUCCCUCAGGCUAUGAUGUUUCCUGAGGGUUGUGGAGGCAGCCGUCAUAGCCACAUGCCAGAACCCUCAAAAGGUCAAAAAAAGACACAGUGGGCCAGGGUGGACACAGAGUAACCAUGCUGUGUGGAUUGAUGUCCCCCAGGGAAUGAGUAGGUAAAGCAGGUAAACCUAAACCCCUCCUCUAGGAAACAGAAUGAGACAGAAAUAUCAUGUACAGUUAAUUGGACUCCACCCUAACCUGCUCAGUUCACCCCACUAAUGAACCGUGUCAGACAUAGGGGGUCAUCUGGCUUCUCCAGCUAUUCACAGACUGCAGAAGAUGGGCAUAAAGCUGCUGAAGAAACUAGUCCUUGUUCUCCUGGUCCAGAUGGAAAGGCUCUGCCGGUUCCUUGCAGAAGCUGAGUAGGACUCAGCAGUCAUCAGGGCUGCAAUGAUUUGUGCAGCUUGUGCGGUUUGCACAUUUGUGUCUAGUCUGUCAAUCAGCACCUGCCAUAUUGCAGUCAAGGAAAAAAAGCACAUUCUACUUAUUCGUAGCAUUUCAUAGCCCUGUCCUCCACGGUCGUGUGGGUAUGGCUUCAUCAUCCAACAGCACAGAGGGGUUUCAGCCUCUUCCACUUCAUGCUGUGAAUGAUCCUACCUGGGAAAGUUUCAGCAUCCCCUUUGAACCUGAUGCUGGAGGCAGGGAAAGCACAGGUAUCAUGAGGCCUUCUAGUGAAGGCUGCCAGGAUGUCUGUCAAUCCAUGUCGGUGGGUUCACUGAGACCUACAGACAACUGACUGGUAGCCCUUGUGGCAGUUGCAGCUGCUCUGGGACAAGCACUGGAUGAGAAAGUGUGUCUUGUCAGACAGGGAAACCAUGGGGAGUGGUGGCCUGGACGGUUUAGAGACUGACUUGUGCAGUCUAAACUAAGAAGGUUUGGAGGAUGGCUUCAGGAUCUUUAAUUGUGACUUUGCCCAUGUUGGGUUUGUCCACUACAGCCUGCUUGGCUGCUGCCUAGUGGGACUCAGAGGUUACUGUGAGGGGCAACCACCAUGCAGCCACACACUGCGGUUGUGAGGUGGCAUUGCCAGCAGGGUUCAUUUUGAAGUUUUGCACCUCGCUGAUGGUUGGCCCACUGCUCUGAGGUCAUCUCCCUCACUCAGAGUCUUCAGAUGAUGUGUGACAAGUGAGUUACAGAGAUAAAAACUUUCAGAAGCUCAACGCCUUUAUCUCCUUCUUAUGGUAAAGGAUUGGCCAGGAAGAACUAGUUCAAUCUGAGUGUCCUCUUGCAGCAAAUGCAGUAUGAAGCCUCUUAUUCUGCCUCCGUCUGUGACCAAACUCCGUGCUGUGAGGAGGUCUGGAGAGCAGGCCUAUGGUGUCACCAGGCCUAUGGGACAAGGCACAAAUCCACUCCUGCUUCACUGUGUUCCUUGUUAGCAAGCAGUGCUCAAGCGAAAACUUAAAUGUUUUAAUUUGUGGGGAGCCAAGUGUGCAAAUAUUCACUUGUGUCUUAUAAGCUGUUCUGUAGAAGUGCAAAUCUAAUGGACUAGACUUGAUUCCAGCACCCAGCAAAACUGCAGGUCAUUUACUGCGCUUCCUGUCACGGCUCCCAGCUGAUAUCAUAAUGUGAGAAAAAGUUGCUGGUUUCCUGUGUGAGCUCUGCCAUGGCCGGGGAAGAUGUGUUGACCUCAGGGUGAGAUAUCUUACAAACACCCUCAUCACUGCUGAAUGUGUUAUUUACCAUUGUCUCCGUUGAUUUUCCUUUUUUGUCCUUUGCUUUUUAAAACGUUGCUGGUUAAAGUUAGGCCCCAGCUUUGCCAAUGCUUUUGGAAAACAUCCACAUAAAAGUCCUGCCUAGGAAACCAAGAAAUGAUUUAGUUGGGUAAGAGUUUGAUGGAAUAUUACUGUUUAGCAUUCAUUUACCACAAGGUAGUAAAGGAAAGUGCCAUUUUAAGCACAGGAGUGAAUUCCAUGAGUGGUGAACGCCCACAUUGCAGUAAGUUCACAGCCUAAGCUCCUCAAUGUGACUUUUUAUUCUAUGUAACUAACUAAAAAGAUAAAUUUAGAUUUAAUGGUAGUUUUAAUGAUUAUCAUAAUUUGUUCCAUUAUUAUUUUAUGUGAUUGCUACCUUUUUUUUUAAAAUACCUUUUUCCCUAAUAGAAGAUUUGAUAGUGAGCCACAGCAUCUUAAAAAAUUUGCGUUAUUGUAUCACGGGCUUUUAAAAAGGGGGAUCUGAGUUGCUAGUAACAGAAAAUGCUAGAGAUGUGUUUGUUCAAUUUUUCUGAAGAAAAUUAUCUAGCAAGUAGAACAUUUGUCUUGCACGAUGCUUAUCAGAGAAGACAGAAUUAAAAAAAAAAUUAUACAUUGAAAAAAUAGCAUCUGAUUUCAUACAACAUGUUCUGCCAGAUAUUCUGAGACAGCACCAGAAGGCACCACAUUUCAAGUGGCAACAACAUGUCACAGAAAUAUCUGGAAAGUCUCCUUUUCUUUAAAAUUUCUGUUUAUCAUGCACUUGUUAUCAAGCUGGCCUGUUUGUUUUUACCUUAAUUUCCCCAUUUUCCAAUCAGCAGGUACAUUUUUGCUUUCCAGAUAGAAUCUGAUUGUCAGGGAUUUAAAAGCGUAAACAAGAAUGACAUAAUUUAAAAAAAAUUAUAUAUAUAUUUAAAAUAAUUAAUUCCUACAGCAGACAUUGAAUCAUAUUGACUUCAGUUCCUUGUUCUCAUGUACAUAAGAAAUGACAAAAAAGAAUAUCUAUUUCAACAGCUUCUUCACCUGCAGUGCUCCUGGUGGUGAAUUGCUAGGCUGAUUUAAAGGAAGAUACAGAGCGUCUGGAGAAAGAGUAAAUAAAGGACUUAUGUUGUUUAUUCCCUGGUAUGGCUCACUUGACUGAUGCAGGCUUUCUGCGUAUCCUCAGGCAUAUUCCAUAGCGUGUUUGUGCUUGAAUGCCCUUUCUGCGAACAGGAUAAUAGUAUUUCUUCUGUCUAUUUAUACAGUAAUUUCCAUGUGACAGAAACUGGUUCUUAUGAUAUAUUGGCACAGAAUCCACCGGUGUGAUCCCCUAAUAUUGGUUCUGUAAAUUGAUGGUAAAACCCAACUCAUACAAAUAUGAAAAAUUAAAUGUUAAUUCCUCAGCUGAAAUCUCAACACAAAUUAAUUUCAUGCGUUUGAAUAAGUGCUUUUCUUCUUGGCAAUAGGCUCACUGGUCAAAACAUAAUGGAUUUGGCAAAGUCUGCUAACAUCACAUUUGAACCAAAAGCCUAAGUGCCGCUGGAAGGCACUUAGAAUGGUAGGUAUUCUGAAUAUUGGGUAUUCAUUCAAGGAAGCAUGCAGAGCUUCCUUGAGUUACAUAGAUUGAGACAGAAGGAAAAAGAGAGAAAGAUAACUGAAACUCUGAAAUAGCCUAUUUUCUGACCUCUAGCAAUUCUUCUUCCACUCCUGUUUUCCCAUACCUAAAUUGAGACAAGCCUGAAGACAACAAUUUCACUUGGGUAGUGUCUGUCUGUUGAUUUUUAGAAAAACAUCCUUCCUUGUGUGUCACGGAUGGAGAAAUAGUGAUGCACUUCACUUUUAAAAGAGAAGGCACAAUGCAUUUAUUGAUAUAAAGCAGAGAUUUGACAAAGUAUGAUGAUAAAUGCAACAAUGAUUUACAAGGUUUGAUGGCAAGGUACACUUGAUUAUUUACUGUGCAGAGAACAGGGUCAGA